This 371-nucleotide ribosomal RNA is filed under the name uncultured fungus. RNAcentral describes it as "LSU rRNA". RNAcentral also lists the same sequence under 1 other name. The record is from RNAcentral. Lineage: Eukaryota; Fungi.
UUGAAAGGGAAACGAUUGAAGUCAGUCGUACCGACGAGAAAUCAACUUAUCGUGUGCGAACUUGUGGGCGUGCGUGAGUUUCGGCCUCGCUGUUUGCAUGUUUGUGCGUUUUGGGUGUACUUUUUCGUAUGGUAGGCCAACGUCAGUUUCGAUUAUCAUAAAAUGACCGGCGGAAUGUAGCUUCGAUUUCGGUUGAAGUGUUAUAGCCUCUGGUAGAUGUGGUGAUUGAGACUGAGGAUUGCAACGAAUACCCUUUGGGCUAUCCGUCUGGCCUCUGAAAGUUGCUCAGGUGCCGAAAGCGUGCUUACGGUCAUCUAAGAUAACGUUCAACAGGUUAGAACGUGAUUACAUUCGUUAAGGAUGUUGACGUA